This 253-nucleotide ribosomal RNA is filed under the name uncultured bacterium. RNAcentral describes it as "partial 16S ribosomal RNA". It matches the Rfam family "Bacterial small subunit ribosomal RNA", at positions 524 to 776 of the family's 1533-position model. The record is from RNAcentral.
UACGGGGGGGGCAAGCGUUGUUCGGAAUUACUGGGCGUAAAGGGCUCGUAGGUGGCCAACUAAGUCAGACGUGAAAUCCCUCGGCUUAACCGGGGAACUGCGUCUGAUACUGGAUGGCUUGAGUUCGGGAGAGGGAUGCGGAAUUCCAGGUGUAGCGGUGAAAUGCGUAGAUAUCGGAAGGAACAUCAGUGGCGAAAGCGACUUCCUGGACCAGUACCGACGUUCAGGCACGAAAGCGUGGGGAGCAAACAGG